GAUGAAGAACGUAGCAAAAUGCGAUAAGUAAUGUGAAUUGCAGAAUUCAGUGAAUCAUCGAAUCUUUGAACGCACAUUGCGCCCGCCAGUAUUCUGGCGGGCAUGCCUGUUCGAGCGUCAUUUCAACCCUCAAGCACAGCUUGGUGUUGGGACUCGCGUUAAUUCGCAUUCCCCAAAUUGAUUGGCGGUCACGUCGAGCUUCCAUAGCGUAGUAGUAAAACCCUCGUUACUGGUAAUCGUCGCGGCCACGCCGUUAAACCCCAACUUCUGAAUGUUGACCUCGGAUCAGGUAGGAAUACCCGCUGAACUUAAGCAUAUCAUAAGCGGAGGA
Molecule: unclassified non-coding RNA, 331 nt
Filed under: soil metagenome
Description: partial contains 5.8S ribosomal RNA, internal transcribed spacer 2, and large subunit ribosomal RNA
Rfam family: 5.8S ribosomal RNA (bases 1-120)
Source: RNAcentral